RNAcentral lists this ribosomal RNA (99 nucleotides) under Sporosarcina sp. P21c. RNAcentral's name for it is "partial 16S ribosomal RNA". It matches the Rfam family "Bacterial small subunit ribosomal RNA", at positions 1 to 93 of the family's 1533-position model. Lineage: Bacteria; Bacillati; Bacillota; Bacilli; Caryophanales; Caryophanaceae. The record is from RNAcentral.
CUCUUAUGGAGAGUUUGAUCCUGGCUCAGGACGAACGCUGGCGGCAUGCCUAAUACAUGCAAGUCGAGCGAACUGAAGGAAGCUUGCUUCCUUUAGUUA